ACGAACGCUGGCGGCAUGCCUCACCCCUGCCAGUCGAACGAGACCUUCGGGUCUAGUGGCGCACGGGUGCGUAACGCGUGGGAACCUGCCCUUAGGUUCGGAAUAACUCCCCGAAAGGGGUGCUAAUACCGGAUAAUGUCUUCGGACCAAAGAUUUAUCGCCUUUGGAUGGGCCCGCGUUGGAUUAGCUAGUUGGUAGGGUAAAAGCCUACCAAGGCGACGAUCCAUAGCUGGUCUGAGAGGAUGAUCAGCCACACUGGGACUGAGACACGGCCCAGACUCCUACGGGAGGCAGCAGUGGGGAAUAUUGGACAAUGGGCGAAAGCCUGAUCCAGCAAUGCCGCGUGAGUGAUGAAGGCCUUAGGGUUGUAAAGCUCUUUUACCCGGGAUGAUAAUGACAGUACCGGGAGAAUAAGCGCCGGCUAACUCCGUG
RNAcentral lists this ribosomal RNA (432 nucleotides) under uncultured bacterium. Its description in RNAcentral is "partial 16S ribosomal RNA". It matches the Rfam family "Bacterial small subunit ribosomal RNA", at positions 29 to 507 of the family's 1533-position model. The record is from RNAcentral.